AGGGUGUCGAUCCAGUAUGCGAGU
RNAcentral lists this non-coding RNA (24 nucleotides) under Arabidopsis thaliana (thale cress). Lineage: Eukaryota; Viridiplantae; Streptophyta; Magnoliopsida; Brassicales; Brassicaceae. The record is from RNAcentral.